GUGAUUCUUCUGCCUCAGCCUCCCAAGUAGCUGGGAUUACAGAAACUCCUCCUACCCAUGGAAUCUGCCAGCAGUUGGAUUCUUGACUAUCUUUAGGACUUUUCCUAAUCUCACCUUCUCCAUCUGUGAAAUGGAAAUAAUCAAAGGUAAACACAAGGAGGGCAGAGAGUUCUCCUGCAUCUGCUACUUUCUUGCCUUCAGCUCAACAAUCCUUCUGUGAAAGAGGCAUAUUUUGUGGUGCUAUGUGCUGAUCUUCCACACAGCCAAAUGGAGGCAGAGGUCACAGAGGAACUAGAAGGAUGGAAAACUGCAGGAGAGUCUCGUUGCCAUCACUCAGUCAAUCAACCAGUUUUGGAUACCUGCCAUGUGCCAAGCCCUGACUGCAGUAAAAAGGAUACCAAAAUAAAUUACUUACUGCUCUCAAAAAGCAAACCGUUUGCUGGCAGACUUGAUCAUAUACCAAUGA
Molecule: long non-coding RNA, 466 nt
Filed under: Homo sapiens (human)
Lineage: Eukaryota; Metazoa; Chordata; Mammalia; Primates; Hominidae
Description: HSALNT0302366
Source: RNAcentral